Long non-coding RNA from Dermochelys coriacea (leatherback sea turtle), 343 nucleotides. RefSeq lists it as uncharacterized. The transcript has 3 exons. NCBI's taxonomy places the organism in Eukaryota, Metazoa, Chordata, Testudines, Dermochelyidae. The record is from RefSeq and is a predicted model, not a curated record.
AGACCAGUGACAGUAUGACAAUCAGAGGCAAGCAGGAGGUGCAGUAGGCAGAUGGGGGCUUGGAUUGUGACAUCAUAGGAAAAUCACCCUUUCAACAUCUCCUGGUGUCCCAUGCCAUCAGUUCCAAAUGAAAGAAUAGUUCAUUUGAUCUGCUCUACUGAUACCGAAGAGAAGACAAUAUGGCACUGUAACCAGAGUUUCAUCUUGAGUCAGAUGCCAUGCCACGGAGCCAAAUCGGAUACUACAUUGCUGGUGGGCAUGUGAUGCUUCACAAAAUUUCAUAGGAUCCUGAAGGCCUACUUAUGUGAUCAGUUUAUCUCAAAGAUUUUGUUAAAAAUAUAAA